UGUCUCUCUCCUGCCUGCUUUUUUUCGUUUUGUUGCCGUAAAUACUUUUAGUAUGGCGUAAAUAUGUCGUGAUUUGUGUUUUAAGAGCGGAACAAGGCCCCUCAAAACAGAGAUUGAUGCAUCGUCAGCGAAGAACAGAAGCGUUGGAUGGGUACGCAGCUCGACCCAACGUCUAGUAACGAUGAGCUCGGCCGAGGCUCGACUCCCGGCGUGUUCUGUGGCCGUGCGGUGUGCGCUUGUGUAUGGGAAAUUAUCGUCGCUGCGUGUUGUCGUAGUGUGGGGAUAUUUGUGCUUAAUGUAUUUGACUUCGUCUACGAUGCUCUGCACAAUGCGGCAUCGAAGUUGUCCCGUGUUCGGGUACACGUACGCCGCUUGGAUGCGCCUGACACUGCACUCAACUAUAGCCAUGUACAGUUAACUCUAGAAUCAACAAAUGUUGGUGUUCUACACGCGCUCGUAACUUUCUGAGGAGUUCCUGUUGUCCUGGUGGAGCUCAGGAGUGAUCUACUGUCUGCCAUAGGUAACGCAAGUGAAAGGGUUUAAAAGCUGAAAAACUGAAGGUGAGGGCUCUAAGCACAGUGAAUUAUCAAGUGGCUGGUCCACCAAAAUACUGUGAUAUAAAGCAUGUUCUUUGCUGCUAGCUAAACCCACCAGUCAUAUGCUACUGUAGAUUUGCAUGAGGCGUCCUAGGCGCUCAAGAAGCUUGUUGAUUGCAUGCAAAUGAGCAACUUAUUGAUUAGCAUGUUCAAAUAUAAAUUUUUUUAUCCUUGUCACUUAAUGUUUAGUGGAGAAGGCCCUCACAAAUGGAGUGGCGUGGGAAGCGUGCAGCACUUGUCCAGACCAGUUUCCUGAUAUAUUGCAUCUCAUAAUUUCAUGGGUGUGUGAGUGAGCCCACAGAGUGGUUAGCACAUAAGAGAGUUCAAAGUGCUUGUACUUUAUACUUUCUGACUUACCAUGGAUUAUCCACUUCAUCUGUGUGAUAACUGUAUCAUGAAAAAGCAAGCGCUGUCUGUGGAGAUAUGGCAUUCCACAUCGUCUCUUUAAUGCUCGCGUGCCUGCCCAUAUUACUUUUUGCCAGCUAGCCAUCGCAGUAGCAUUGAUUUCAGAAGAUUAUGCAAGGAGAGCAGUGUCUGUUUUGGCUGUUGUGAUAUGUAGCAAUGCGCCACACAUUUCAUCAGCUGAAAAGAACAGUGGUAUCUUAUAGCAGUCAUUGCGAUUCCAACAGCAGGCUGGUGAAAAUAUAGCAUAUGAGCAGGCGCAUGAGUGUCCUGUCAUUUUUUGCAAGGUGCAUGUUGGGCAGGCUGGAAGCUGUAUUUGCAGCUGCCACAGCUGAGUCAUAAGUGUCAUGUUAUGCAUUGAAAAGUAAAGUUAACAUCAACUUGAAAGUGUCGCAGUGCUAUGGAUGAAGCCUAUAUAGUGUGUUUCUUUUAGGAAAAGCACUGCCAACUUAGCAAAAUUUAUUCUUGUCUAUGCAGUCUGUGGUGACAAAGGUUCCUGGACAUGGCCAUGGCCCUAAAGAAACUGAGGCCACCGGCUUCCAGUGUUUCUUCCUGUUCGAGCAAAGGUAGUCCAGCCUUGACUGGCUGGGCUUUCCAAAGUGCGCUAUCGCACCUUGGGCUAUCCUGUGUCACAAGCAGUACCUACAGUGAUUGCGAGGAGGUGCCACACAAACCUAACUCGUCACCACCACCGUUUUCCUGUGUUUUUAUACCAAGUGAGCUAACUAGUCACGUGUUGACCUUGCACUCUGCGGCUACGGCACAGAGGGAAGCAGCGGUGCUGUCCCAGGCCGGCCAAUGAAACUGCCCAUGCAGGCAAUCGCCUGCUUCCCGAUAACGGCAGAAAACAAAACUUUGUGGAGCUGGCGCUGGGCCGGUUUGAGCGGCGGUGGCUGCACGGCAGCGUGCACGCAUGUGUCAUAUGUAAGAGGCCGCCGGUGGCGCGAAAAAGAAAAGGAGCACGAGAAACACGGGGUUCCGAACGGUGCGAGCGCGCGAGGCGCACGAACCGAGGCAUAGUCGAGGGAUGAACGGCGCUGUCCGUGGAGUUUCAACGUGGCACCGGGUCAGGAAGGUCGCAUCUCCAGCUAUGUUCUGGCGACGGGAGACUUGGGGGUCUGGUUGAGUCCGCGACGCUGGCCGUCCAAGGUGUGGCCGUCGACCUCGGCAAGUUCUGGCGAGGCUCCUGGACGGGCUGCAGCUUCUCACGGCAGGACCAGGCACCCCAGAGAGGAUCCCCCUUCUGCGGCAGACCGGCACGUUCGAAUCUCCUCGGGACGCCACGUCGGCACUCCUGA
Dermacentor silvarum is the source of this 2296-nucleotide long non-coding RNA. RefSeq lists it as uncharacterized. The transcript is spliced from 4 exons. The record is from RefSeq and is a predicted model, not a curated record. NCBI's taxonomy places the organism in Eukaryota, Metazoa, Arthropoda, Arachnida, Ixodida, Ixodidae.